This 77-nucleotide small RNA is filed under the name Spisula solidissima (Atlantic surf clam). The record is from RNAcentral. Lineage: Eukaryota; Metazoa; Mollusca; Bivalvia; Venerida; Mactridae.
GCCGCCAGUGUGAUGGAUUCGUUUUCCGUGUUUCACCUGAUUCAUAAAUGAUUACAAUUUACUACUCGCUGAUCUGC